AUUGAACGCUGGCGGCAGGCCUAACACAUGCAAGUCGAGCGGAUGAAGGGAGCUUGCUCCUGGAUUCAGCGGCGGACGGGUGAGUAAUGCCUAGGAAUCUGCCUUGCAGUGGGGGAUAACGUCCGUAAACGGGCGCUAAUCCCGCAUCCGUCCUGAGGGAGAAAGUCGGGGAUCUUCGGACCACGCGCUAUUAGCUGAGCCUAGGUCGGAUUAGCUAGUUGGUGGGGUAAAGGCCUACCAAGGCGACGAUCCGUAACUGGUCUGAGAGGAUGAUCAGUCACACUGGAACUGAGACACGGUCCAGACUCCUACGGGAGGCAGCAGUGGGGAAUAUUGGACAAUGGGCGAAAGCCUGAUCCAGCAAUGCCGCGUGUGUGAAGAAGGUCUUCGGAUUGUAAAGCACUUUAAGUUGGGAGGAAGGGCAGUAAGUUAAUACCUUGCUGUUUUGACGUUACCAACAGAAUAAGCACCGGCUAACUUCGUG
RNAcentral lists this ribosomal RNA (484 nucleotides) under uncultured bacterium. RNAcentral's name for it is "partial 16S ribosomal RNA". It matches the Rfam family "Bacterial small subunit ribosomal RNA", at positions 30 to 507 of the family's 1533-position model. The record is from RNAcentral.